UCCUCUCACCCAGCGUGGCAACCCUUUCAAACGGGAAGCUCCAGGUCAGUUUCCCUUGCCAAGUUUUGCAGCCUGCCAUGUUGUCUAUUCUGCUCAGCUAUUUAAAAAAUGUUGAAUAUCAACAAUGGCUUUCACUGGUGCAUUGUCAACUUUUGUAUGAAGCAAUCUUGGCUGAAUGAGAUGGGUCCCAGUGCAGGGAGAGCUCAGCUGCAGUGUGCACUACCACACCAGUGACUGCCCGGCUCCCUCGCUCUUUAUAUUUCUCUGCUGCACCAGGAGCUGCUGCCAUGGUGCUGGUGGUGCUCCCAUCUGAAUGUCCGUGGUUGGAGUCUGUGCUGAGGCUCUGGGCUGUGGAUGUCACUGCUAUCUUCCAGUGCAUGGUCCUGCUCUUGGGCCUCCUGACAGCCAGCUGUUGAUGGUGUGUUUAACAGAGGGAUUUGGAAGCAGCAGCAGCAGCAGCAGCAGCAGCUUUGGGACCAGUCAGAGCUUGGUUUUAGUGACAGUCCCUUCUCCUAAUGACCGAACGUAGGCGCCGUCUCUGCCUGAGACAGUAAGAGAUGAUCAUCUGGGCUGCAUCCCCAAAAUGUGGAGGGGUAGCAGGAGUGGGUGCAAGAGGGAGAUGGAUGAUCAGGACUCAGUGGUGCCAGGGGUCCACCUGCAGUAGCUGACGACUCCAGUGACAGCCCAGCAGGGGACAGUAAGGGUGGUGGUCUUCACACCUCUCUGGAAUAAUUAGGAGGCUUGGGAGUUCAGGUAGGGAACAAGGCAGCACAGCAGUAUUACUGAAACAGCCUGGAGACUGAGGAAGAUGAUGAAGAUGCCCAAACAUAAUACAGUAUCUGGAAACCAGGUCUUUUAGGUUCAACACUAUCAUCCG
Long non-coding RNA from Larimichthys crocea (large yellow croaker), 877 nucleotides. RefSeq lists it as uncharacterized. Lineage: Eukaryota; Metazoa; Chordata; Actinopteri; Sciaenidae. The record is from RefSeq and is a predicted model, not a curated record. The transcript has 3 exons.